AGUUCACCCUCCUCAAAGCCAUUAUGUGAUUCUUCCUUUUUCUUACCCUCUGCAGUCUUUUGGCUGCAGAUCCUCAGGGACUCGAGACAACUCCCUCCUGCUGAGCCUGAAGCACCCGCUCCCCUCCCUGAGGCACACGGCUGUGGAACAGCUAUUGGGAAUUGUCACCUUGAGACAGUAGGGCUUUGACCUGGCCUUCCUAUACGAGGCUCUGUUGGAGCGCAUGAAGGAGGACGUCCCCGAGGUUGUGGCUGCAGCUUUGAAGGCUCUGGAGGUGAGUGGCUGGAACAUCAGACUUUAAGGUACGUUCAUAUUGGAAUCUACUAGGAUUAAACCUAAUUUAUCCUAUAUAUCCUACUCAACUCUUUCUUGAUCCAGAGGACACUGUUUCAUGUCUACUCACUGCUGCCAUGCGUAGACCUCUCAAAGGCUGGGAACUGGUGUCCACAGUCGAAGGAGGCAGUGAGGGUUCUGGAGGAACCCAGACUGGUUGAGGGGAUCUCUGACCUGAGGGCUCGUGUCGUAGGGGAUCUGUUGCCCUUCCUUGUGAUCACCUCGGCCCUGCCUGACUCCCCAGACGGCCACUUGUGUGGCCCAGUCUCCACCCUCUUAUACCAGCACCACCGCACUCAGGGCUGGGCCCAUGCACUCAACGACGUGAUGGAGAGGAUUUCUCAGCCAACCAGCAUCUCAACACUGACCAAGAACCUGUCUAACAUGGACCCCUUCUCCAAACGCAAUGCUAUGAGUGAUUAGUAAAAAUUUGUUGGCGUAUCCAAAGUACCAUUGAAACAAACCUGCCUUGCUUUCCUGAAACUGAUAUGAUGAUUUUUGGAUCUCCGCGACCUAGCUCAGGUAAUAUCCCUUUUUGUGGCUCGAAAUUUGGAUUAACAUGCUGGUUUCAAGAGGAAAUUGUCAUA
Molecule: non-coding RNA, 920 nt
Organism: Salvelinus sp. IW2-2015
Lineage: Eukaryota; Metazoa; Chordata; Actinopteri; Salmoniformes; Salmonidae
Source: RefSeq, a predicted model, not a curated record